CAUGGGAACCUACCAUGCGCUGCUAAUAUAUUAGACCUACAGGAUAGUUUAAAUACAUGUUAGGUGGUGAUCUUUUGCAGGUAUGGCAUAUAUUUGUCCAAAGGUCAUAAUGUCAUAUGCAAUGCAGACAACUAAUGCUCACUGCUGUAAGAAUUGAACUCAGCCCAAUCUUCAUCUGUCAAGUGGGAUGUAAUGUUCUUGCUUUUCCAAUCAUAAAAGGGCAGUUUGAUCGGGAACUCCUCCAGCAGAACUCUCUGUCAUGGUGCUUACCUGUGCCCAGUCGGUCUUGGGAGAUGAGGGAAGAAAACUUCAUCUAUAUUUUUGGUAAACUUCAAAUAAACUCUGAGUAAUAACAUCUCCCAUGAAAUCUCAGAAAAAUGAAAAACAGAAUCAGUUUAGUGAUCUGUGUCUGAAUGAAGCCCUCUCCCAGAGCAAAUUAAAACACUGCACAGCUGCACCUGAAUCAAUAAGCACCAACUCAGGCA
RNAcentral lists this long non-coding RNA (485 nucleotides) under Manacus vitellinus (golden-collared manakin). RNAcentral describes it as "lncRNA (ENSMVIG00005001819.1)". The record is from RNAcentral. Lineage: Eukaryota; Metazoa; Chordata; Aves; Passeriformes; Pipridae.